GACGAACGCUGGCGGCGUGCUUAACACAUGCAAGUCGAACGGAAAGGCCCUGCUUUUGUGGGGUGCUCGAGUGGCGAACGGGUGAGUAACACGUGAGUAACCUGCCCUUGACUUUGGGAUAACUUCAGGAAACUGGGGCUAAUACCGGAUAGGAGCUCCUGCUGCAUGGUGGGGGUUGGAAAGUUUCGGCGGUUGGGGAUGGACUCGCGGCUUAUCAGCUUGUUGGUGGGGUAGUGGCUUACCAAGGCUUUGACGGGUAGCCGGCCUGAGAGGGUGACCGGCCACAUUGGGACUGAGAUACGGCCCGGACGCCUACGGGAGGCAGCAGGGGGGAAUAUUGCACAAGGGGCGGAGGCCGGAUGCAGCAACGCCGCGUGCGGGACGACGGCCUUCGGGUAGUAAACCGCUUUCGCCUGUGACGAAGCGUGAGGGACGGGAAUGGGGAAAGAAGCACCGGCGAACUACGG
This 467-nucleotide ribosomal RNA is filed under the name uncultured bacterium. Its description in RNAcentral is "partial 16S ribosomal RNA". It matches the Rfam family "Bacterial small subunit ribosomal RNA", at positions 28 to 506 of the family's 1533-position model. The record is from RNAcentral.